Long non-coding RNA from Triticum aestivum (bread wheat), 848 nucleotides. RefSeq lists it as uncharacterized. The record is from RefSeq and is a predicted model, not a curated record. NCBI's taxonomy places the organism in Eukaryota, Viridiplantae, Streptophyta, Magnoliopsida, Poales, Poaceae. The transcript has 4 exons.
CGCACGGCUCCUCUCCGUCUCCUCCCUCACCCCCACGUGUGGUUCCGCUUCCCGCUGGCCACGAGGUGCAGCCUUGCAGGGGCGCAUCGGGCUGGGCCUCUGUUUCCGGUUAGUUCAUCCCCCUCCUCCUCCUCUCCGAUCUGCUCUGGUUCUCACCCUCUCCUCUUCUUCCUUCUCUCUCAGAUAUGGUGCAACAGCUGCUGUGGGGUUGAGGUGUUCUAGCGACGGUAGGAGCUCCGGGCCCGUCCAGGUUAACCUAUCUCUCUCUCUCUCUCCUGAUUUCGUAGCCCUCAUGUGCUUGCUUGCUUUUUGCUCUGAGUUGUGGCUGUCCAGAUUAGCUAGGGUUCAAGCUUUGGCAGCCUAUAUGGUGGUCACUAUUCUUGUCAUGUGCUUUAACUCUACAACCUAGCUUGGGUUCCCUCAUGUGCUUGCUGGUCUGCCUGUCUAAUUAGGCUUAGGUCUGUCCAGUGCUCCAUCUAUGCUGAUUUUCAGAAACUGUUGCCCAGAGAGAUCUCCAUGAAGCAUUGCACCUGAUGCAGAUGUCAAAGUAUUCAAUCUACUAUGAUGACCACCAGCGGUGUAGUCUUGGUACAUAUACUGCAUCCUGAGAGAUAAAGCAGCAAGGACUAGCAGCAUGGAUGUGAAAUAUGGUCAUGCUCUUAACCUGAUCUCCAGAAAGAUUCAAACUACUCUCCUGUGAGGAUUUGUUCUGCUAUACAUUUUCCUUUCAUUUCCCAUCCAGGUUGUGUUCAAAUGAUAGGUGGCAUUGCAAAUUAUGACCAAUUUAAAUGUUGUUUAGUGAGCCUCCAUCCGCCAAUUGGAAAUAAACUGAGGGACCUGAAGUUUCA